Molecule: ribosomal RNA, 474 nt
Filed under: uncultured organism
Description: partial 16S ribosomal RNA
Rfam family: Bacterial small subunit ribosomal RNA
Source: RNAcentral
ACACUCCUACGGGAGGCAGCAGUGGGGAAUUUUAGACAAUGGGCGAAAGCCUGAUCCAGCAAUGCCGCGUGAGUGAAGAAGGCCUUCGGGCUGUAAAGCUCUUUUGUCAGGGAAGAAACGGUGAAAGCUAAUAUCUUUUGCUAAUGACGGUACCUGAAGAAUAAGCACCGGCUAACUACGUGCCAGCAGCCGCGGUAAUACGUAGGGUGCAAGCGUUAAUCGGAAUUACUGGGCGUAAAGCGUGCGCAGGCGGUUUUGUAAGUCUGAUGUGAAAUCCCCGGGCUCAACCUGGGAAUUGCAUUGGAGACUGCAAGGCUAGAAUCUGGCAGAGGGGGGUAGAAUUCCACGUGUAGCAGUGAAAUGCGUAGAUAUGUGGAGGAACACCGAUGGCGAAGGCAGCCCCCUGGGUCAAGAUUGACGCUCAUGCACGAAAGCGUGGGGAGCAAACAGGAUUAGAUACCCAUGUAGUCCCAU